GACGAACGCUGGCGGCGUGCUUAACACAUGCAAGUCGAACGGAGUGGCGAACGGGUGAGUAACACGUGGGUGACCUGCCUUGCACUUCGGGCUAAGCUUGGGACACUGGGUCUAAUACCGGAUAGUGCAAGAGGAGCUCGCGGCCUAUCAGCUUGUUGGUGGGGUAAUGGCCUACCAAGGCGUCGACGGGUAGCCGGCCUGAGAGGGUGUACGGCCACAAUGGGACUGGGGUACGGGCCAGAAUCCUACGGGAGGCAGCAGUGGGGAAUAUUGCACAAUGGGCGGAAGCCUGAUGCAGCGACGCCGCGUGGGGGAGGAAGGCCUUCGGGUUGUAAACUCCGUUCGACAGGGACGCGGUACCUGUAUAAGAAGCACCGGCUAACUACGUGCCAGCCGCCGCGGUAAUUC
RNAcentral lists this ribosomal RNA (408 nucleotides) under uncultured bacterium. RNAcentral's name for it is "partial 16S ribosomal RNA". It matches the Rfam family "Bacterial small subunit ribosomal RNA", at positions 28 to 526 of the family's 1533-position model. The record is from RNAcentral.